This 254-nucleotide ribosomal RNA is filed under the name uncultured bacterium. Its description in RNAcentral is "partial 16S ribosomal RNA". It matches the Rfam family "Bacterial small subunit ribosomal RNA", at positions 524 to 776 of the family's 1533-position model. The record is from RNAcentral.
CACGUAGGGGGCGAGCGUUGUCCGGAUUUAUUGGGCGUAAAGAGCUCGUAGGCGGUUCGGCAAGUCGGGUGUGAAAUUUCGAGGCUCAACCUCGAAACGCCACUCGAUACUGCUGUGACUGGAGUCCGGUAGAGGAGUGCGGAAUUCCUGGUGUAGCGGUGAAAUGCGCAGAUAUCAGGAGGAACACCAACGGCGAAGGCAGCACUCUGGGCCGGUACUGACGCUGAGGAGCGAAAGCGUGGGGAGCGAACAGG